AGAGCGAACGCUGGCGGCAGGCCUAACACAUGCAAGUCGAACGAAGUCUUCGGACUUAGUGGCGGACGGGUGAGUAACACGUGGGAACGUACCUUUGGUUCGGAACAACUCAGGGAAACUUGAGCUAAUACCGAAUGUGCCCUUAGGGGGAAAGAUUUAUCGCCAUUAGAGCGGCCCGCGUUAGAUUAGCUUGUUGGUGAGGUAAAGGCUCACCAAGGCUACGAUCUAUAGCUGGUCUGAGAGGAUGAUCAGCCACACUGGGACUGAGACACGGCCCAGACUCCUACGGGAGGCAGCAGUGGGGAGUCUUGCGCAAUG
RNAcentral lists this ribosomal RNA (318 nucleotides) under uncultured bacterium. RNAcentral describes it as "bacterial SSU rRNA". It matches the Rfam family "Bacterial small subunit ribosomal RNA", at positions 26 to 373 of the family's 1533-position model. The record is from RNAcentral.